AGGUAACCUGCCCAGAAGCGGGGGACAACAUUUGGAAACAGAUGCUAAUACCGCAUAACAACGUUGUUCGCAUGAACAACGCUUAAAAGAUGGCUUCUCGCUAUCACUUCUGGAUGGACCUGCGGUGCAUUAGCUUGUUGGUGGGGUAACGGCCUACCAAGGCGAUGAUGCAUAGCCGAGUUGAGAGACUGAUCGGCCACAAUGGGACUGAGACACGGCCCAUACUCCUACGGGAGGCAGCAGUAGGGAAUCUUCCACAAUGGGCGCAAGCCUGAUGGAGCAACACCGCGUGAGUGAAGAAGGGUUUCGGCUCGUAAAGCUCUGUUGUUAAAGAAGAACACGUAUGAGAGUAACUGUUCAUACGUUGACGGUAUUUAACCAGAAAGUCACGGCUAACUACGUGCCAGCAGCCGCGGUAAUACGUAGGUGGCAAGCGUUAUCCGGAUUUAUUGGGCGUAAAGAGAGUGCAGGCGGUUUUCUAAGUCUGAUGUGAAAGCCUUCGGCUUAACCGGAGAAGUGCAUCGGAAACUGGAUAACUUGAGUGCAGAAGAGGGUAGUGGAACUCCAUGUGUAGCGGUGGAAUGCGUAGAUAUAUGGAAGAACACCAGUGGCGAAGGCGGCUACCUGGUCUGCAACUGACGCUGAGACUCGAAAGCAUGGGUAGCGAACAGGAUUAGAUACCCUGGUAGUCCAUGCCGUAAACGAUGAGUGCUAGGUGUUGGAGGGUUUCCGCCCUUCAGUGCCGGAGCUAACGCAUUAAGCACUCCGCCUGGGGAGUACGACCGCAAGGUUGAAACUCAAAGGAAUUGACGGGGGCCCGCACAAGCGGUGGAGCAUGUGGUUUAAUUCGAAGCUACGCGAAGAACCUUACCAGGUCUUGACAUCUUGCGCCAACCCUAGAGAUAGGGCGUUUCCUUCGGGAACGCAAUGACAGGUGGUGCAUGGUCGUCGUCAGCUCGUGUCGUGAGAUGUUGGGUUAAGUCCCGCAACGAGCGCAACCCUUGUUACUAGUUGCCAGCAUUAAGUUGGGCACUCUAGUGAGACUGCCGGUGACAAACCGGAGGAAGGUGGGGACGACGUCAGAUCAUCAUGCCCCUUAUGACCUGGGCUACACACGUGCUACAAUGGACGGUACAACGAGUCGCGAACUCGCGAGGGCAAGCAAAUCUCUUAAAACCGUUCUCAGUUCGGACUGCAGGCUGCAACUCGCCUGCACGAAGUCGGAAUCGCUAGUAAUCGCGGAUCAGCAUGCCGCGGUGAAUACGUUCCCGGGCCUUGUACACACCGCCCGUCACACCA
RNAcentral lists this ribosomal RNA (1299 nucleotides) under Limosilactobacillus fermentum. RNAcentral's name for it is "bacterial SSU rRNA". It matches the Rfam family "Bacterial small subunit ribosomal RNA", at positions 119 to 1404 of the family's 1533-position model. The record is from RNAcentral. RNAcentral also lists the same sequence under 1 other name. Lineage: Bacteria; Bacillati; Bacillota; Bacilli; Lactobacillales; Lactobacillaceae.